RNAcentral lists this ribosomal RNA (253 nucleotides) under uncultured bacterium. RNAcentral describes it as "partial 16S ribosomal RNA". It matches the Rfam family "Bacterial small subunit ribosomal RNA", at positions 524 to 776 of the family's 1533-position model. The record is from RNAcentral.
UUCAGAGGGUACAAGCGUUGUCCGGAAUCACUGGGCGUAAAGGGCGCGUAGGCGGCCUGAUAAGUAGGAGGUGAAAUCCUGGGGCUUAACCUCAGGGCUGCCUUCUAGACUGUCCGGCUUGAGUACAGUAGAGGCAGGUGGAAUUCCCGGUGUAGCGGUGGAAUGCGUAGAGAUCGGGAAGAACAUCGGUGGCGAAGGCGGCCUGCUGGGCUGUUGCUGACGCUGAGGCGCGACAGCGUGGGGAGCAAACAGG